GAUUCCUUAGCUCAGCUGGGAGAGCGCUACCUUGACAGGGUAGAGGUCGCUGGUUCGAGCCCAGUAGGAAUCAUCA
RNAcentral lists this transfer RNA (76 nucleotides) under Planococcus maritimus. Its description in RNAcentral is "tRNA-Val". It matches the Rfam family "tRNA". From Rfam's summary of the family: Transfer RNA (tRNA) molecules are approximately 80 nucleotides in length. Their secondary structure includes four short double-helical elements and three loops (D, anti-codon, and T loops). Further hydrogen bonds mediate the characteristic L-shaped molecular structure. tRNAs have two regions of fundamental functional importance: the anti-codon, which is responsible for specific mRNA codon recognition, and the 3' end, to which the tRNAs corresponding amino acid is attached (by aminoacyl-tRNA synthetases). tRNAs cope with the degeneracy of the genetic code in two manners: having more than one tRNA (with a specific anti-codon) for a particular amino acid; and 'wobble' base-pairing, i.e. permitting non-standard base-pairing at the 3rd anti-codon position. Lineage: Bacteria; Bacillati; Bacillota; Bacilli; Caryophanales; Caryophanaceae. RNAcentral also lists the same sequence under 7 other names. The record is from RNAcentral.